AUCUAUAGCUAUACCAUACUGAACACAAUAGGUCUUGUCUGGUCUUGGAAGCUAAGUAAGGUCAGGCCUGGUUGGUAUUUAGAUGGGAGAUGUCCAGUGUAAGCAAGUCUCAUC
This 114-nucleotide ribosomal RNA is filed under the name Meriones unguiculatus (Mongolian gerbil). Lineage: Eukaryota; Metazoa; Chordata; Mammalia; Rodentia; Muridae. The record is from RNAcentral.